UACAGAGGUCUCAAGCGUUGUUCGGAUUCAUUGGGCGUAAAGGGUGCGUAGGCGGCGCGGUAAGUCGGGUGUGAAAUCUCGGAGCUUAACUCCGAAACUGCAUUCGAUACUGCCGUGCUUGAGGACUGGAGAGGAGACUGGAAUUUACGGUGUAGCGGUGAAAUGCGUAGAUAUCGGAAGGAACACCAGUGGCGAAAGCGGCUUCCUGGUCCAGCACCGACGUCAGGCACGAAAGCGUGGGGAGCAAACAGGG
Molecule: ribosomal RNA, 253 nt
Filed under: uncultured bacterium
Lineage: Bacteria
Description: partial 16S ribosomal RNA
Rfam family: Bacterial small subunit ribosomal RNA
Source: RNAcentral